RNAcentral lists this signal recognition particle RNA (90 nucleotides) under Nocardioides sp. Its description in RNAcentral is "signal recognition particle sRNA small type". It matches the Rfam family "Bacterial small signal recognition particle RNA". Rfam says of the family: The signal recognition particle (SRP) is a universally conserved ribonucleoprotein involved in the co-translational targeting of proteins to membranes. Archaeal SRP consists of a 7S RNA and homologues of the eukaryotic SRP19 and SRP54 proteins. In most bacteria, the SRP consists of a 4.5S RNA and the Ffh protein (a homologue of the eukaryotic SRP54 protein). Lineage: Bacteria; Bacillati; Actinomycetota; Actinomycetes; Propionibacteriales; Nocardioidaceae. The record is from RNAcentral.
AACCCCCCGCGUGGCGGCACCUCGCCCAAUCCCCCAGGGUCGGAAGACAGCAAGGGUAAGUGAGCUCUGCCGGGUGCGCGGGGGGCCUCU